UGCCAGCCGCCGCGGUAAUACGGAGGGUGCGAGCGUUAAUCGGAAUUACUGGGCGUAAAGCGCACGCAGGCGGUUUGUUAAGCUAGAUGUGAAAGCCCCGGGCUCAACCUGGGAUGGUCAUUUAGGACUGGCAGACUAGAGUCUUGGAGAGGAUAGGGGAAUUUCCGGUGUAGCGGUGAAAUGCGUAGAUAUCGGAAGGAACACCAGUUGCGAAGGCGCCUAUCUGGCCAGAGACUGACACUGAGGUACGAAAGCGUGGGUAGCGAACAGGAUUAGAUA
Molecule: ribosomal RNA, 279 nt
Filed under: uncultured bacterium
Lineage: Bacteria
Description: partial 16S ribosomal RNA
Rfam family: Bacterial small subunit ribosomal RNA
Source: RNAcentral